CGAAAGCCUGACGGAGCAAGACCGCGUGAGGGAGGAAGGCUCUUGGGUUGUAAACCUCUUUUCUCAGGGAAGAAGCACUGACGGUACCUGAGGAAUCAGCAUCGGCUAACUCCGUGCCAGCAGCCGCGGUAAUACGGAGGAUGCAAGCGUUAUCCGGAUUUAUUGGGCGUAAAGCGUCCGCAGGUGGUAGUUCAAGUCGAUUGUCAAAGGCAGUAGCUUUAAACUUACCUUGGAGGAACGGCCAAGUUGGGAAAAACCUCGAAAAGAACCCUAAUGAACGUUGCCGGGUUAAGGGGGGUUCAGCAGCGGAAUUCCCGGCUGUCAGCGGUGAAAUGCGUAGCAGAUCGGGACAGAACACCAGUGCCGAAAGCGCUCUGCUGGACCGGCACUCACACUGAGGGCCGAAAGCUAGGGGAGCAC
Molecule: ribosomal RNA, 420 nt
Filed under: uncultured cyanobacterium
Lineage: Bacteria; Bacillati; Cyanobacteriota
Description: bacterial SSU rRNA
Rfam family: Bacterial small subunit ribosomal RNA
Source: RNAcentral